Molecule: ribosomal RNA, 435 nt
Filed under: uncultured bacterium
Lineage: Bacteria
Description: bacterial SSU rRNA
Rfam family: Bacterial small subunit ribosomal RNA
Source: RNAcentral
AACGCGAAGAACCUUACCAGGUCUUGACAUCCUCUGACAACCCUAGAGAUAGGGCGUUCCCCUUCGGGGGACAGAGUGACAGGUGGUGCAUGGUUGUCGUCAGCUCGUGUCGUGAGAUGUUGGGUUAAGUCCCGCAACGAGCGCAACCCUUGAUCUUAGUUGCCAGCAUUCAGUUGGGCACUCUAAGGUGACUGCCGGUGACAAACCGGAGGAAGGUGGGGAUGACGUCAAAUCAUCAUGCCCCUUAUGACCUGGGCUACACACGUGCUACAAUGGACGGUACAAAGGGCAGCAAACCUGCGAAGGUAAGCAAGUCCCAUAAAGCCAUUCUCAGUUCGGAUUGCAGGCUGCAACUCGCCUGCAUGAAGCCGGAAUCGCUAGUAAUCGCGGAUCAGCAUGCCGCGGUGAAUACGUUCCCGGGUCUUGUACACACCG